Molecule: ribosomal RNA, 301 nt
Filed under: uncultured bacterium
Lineage: Bacteria
Description: partial 16S ribosomal RNA
Rfam family: Bacterial small subunit ribosomal RNA
Source: RNAcentral
CAGUAGCCACGGGAAUACGAAGGGGGCUAGCGUUGCUCGGAAUUACUGGGCGUAAAGGGAGCGUAGGCGGAUCGUUAAGUUGGGGGUGAAAGCCCGGGGCUCAACCUCGGAACUGCCUUCAAUACUGGCGAUCUUGAGUAUGAGAGAGGUGUGUGGAACUCCGAGUGUAGAGGUGAAAUUCGUAGAUAUUGGGAAGAACACCGGUGGCGAAGGCGGCGACCUGGUCUUUUACUGACGCUGAGGCGCGAAAGCGUGGGGAGCAAACGGGAUUAGAUACCCCCGUAGUCCCUGUCUCUUAUAC